GCGCCUCCGUAGCUCAGAUGGAUAGAGUACUGGCUACGAACCAAGGGGUCGGGCGUUCGAAUCGCUCCGGGCGCA
RNAcentral lists this transfer RNA (75 nucleotides) under Nitrosomonadales bacterium. RNAcentral describes it as "tRNA-Arg". It matches the Rfam family "tRNA". From Rfam's summary of the family: Transfer RNA (tRNA) molecules are approximately 80 nucleotides in length. Their secondary structure includes four short double-helical elements and three loops (D, anti-codon, and T loops). The record is from RNAcentral. Lineage: Bacteria; Pseudomonadati; Pseudomonadota; Betaproteobacteria; Nitrosomonadales.